This 801-nucleotide long non-coding RNA is filed under the name Gallus gallus (chicken). Lineage: Eukaryota; Metazoa; Chordata; Aves; Galliformes; Phasianidae. The record is from RNAcentral.
AGCUGGGAUGUGGGGCUGAAGCUCCAUCUGCUUGGAUCUCGGGAGAAGGAAAGGCUUGGGAGCUGAGGAUGUACCUGCAGCUCUUCCUUGUGCUGUACUCAGCUGCACUCCCACCAAGGCUGAUGAUCCGGCUGCUGAGAGGAAUCCUUUUUUUUUUUUUUCUUCUCUGGAGUUUUUACCAAACUCCAAAACAUCUGGAACAGCUCAUGGAGCUGGAGAGGAUUGUAACGCUGAGAGUGGAAAUAGGGUCAUGGAAACGGAGGCACCCUGUUGGAUUAAUGCUCGAGAGCAACACUUGGGAAGGCUUGAGGUCAAAGCCUCACCCCUUCCCUCACAAAGGAAAAGAGUUGGAAAAAUCCUGGUGAGACCCUGGGAGACGUUUGUCUGCACCACAAAACCACUGCCUGCCUCCAGGUCCUGCUCAUGGGGUCUGUGCCUGGGGGAUGUCUCUGGACCCAUUGUGCCCAGCGCCCAUCGGUACCCAUUGUCUUUGCACAUGGACGUGGCACUCUGCUGUUUAGGUCUCCCGGCUCCAACGUUUUCUCCUAUGUGGCAAACUGGCAGGAGGUCAAGAAAGAAGUCAGGAUUUUGAAAAGGGCAAUAGGGCCCCUGGGGUUAUUUAGAGCCUGCCAGCUUGACAUCCAUCAAGGCUGACAUACUGAGAGAGCUUUUACAGAAAGCAAUGUGAAGUUAAUUAAAGGAGGGGUGUGACUGAUGCCAGUCCCAGCAGAUGAUGAAAAUAGAUCUCUGCUAAAUUCUUCAUUUCUGCAGGGCUCGGAUUUGGGCUGAUAAAGAUGAUAC